This 3732-nucleotide long non-coding RNA is filed under the name Spirodela polyrhiza (greater duckweed). RNAcentral describes it as "long non-coding RNA (SPOL_LNC001654)". Lineage: Eukaryota; Viridiplantae; Streptophyta; Magnoliopsida; Alismatales; Araceae. The record is from RNAcentral.
CGGUGUACGACGCAGAUGACAUCCUCGACGACUACGCGACCGCCGGGGAAAUGGUGUCGGUACAGCCGGAAACGUCCUCCUCGAACAACGUGGUGCGCCCUCGUUUUUCCUCUUCAUUACCUGUCAGAAGUCAUACUGAAUUUGAACAUAAAAUGGAGAUGAGGAUAAAGAGCAUAAUCUCAAGGUUGGAGAAGAUCUCCAAAGAGAAGGCCGAGCUGCGCUUGACGCCCACCGAUGAUGAUUUCUCAGCGAUAGGCAACAACUUUCAGACAUCAUCUCUAGUCGAUCCAGAUAUUACUUCGUCUGCACUUGAAUUAAAAUUAAAAAAAUUACUGAGUCAGCUUGUGGGGGAUGAGAACGAGGGCAAGCUGAUAGCGAUCACGGGGAUGGGGGGAAUCGGAAAGACUACUCUUGCUAAAGUUAUAUUCAAUGAUGGAUUCAUCGAAGCCAGUUUUCGCAUGAAGAUUUGGAUCUGCGUUUCAAAGUACUUUAACCAUGUCAAGAUUUUGAAAGAAAUCAUAGCGCAUGCAGAUGGGAACCCCCGGGUUAGUGACAGUAAGGAACAGCUGGCCUUGAUCCUAAGCAGCCUCAUUAAAGACAAGAAAAUUUUUCUGGUUCUGGAUGACGUCUGGACGACAGAGGUAUGGAAAGAUCUACUCCAAGGGCCCUUGCAAGGCGCCGCUGCUGGCAGCAGGGUGAUAAUAACGACUCGAUUCGAGUCCGUGGCGAACCAGGUGGGGGCGUCGCUCAUUCACCAUGCCCAAAGAAUGACUGGUUUGGAGGGCUUCCACUUGUUAUACAAGAUGGCGUUCAGAAACGGGGAGCAAGAGCAGUGGGAAGCCCUGCAAGAUGUCGGCAUUAAAAUUGCCGAGCGAUGCAAGGGCGUCCCUUUAGCAAUAAAGACGAUCGGAGGGGUUCUGAGACGCAAGGAUAAGAACGUACGAGAGUGGGAGGAAAUACUCGAAGAUCCGAUAUGGUCUGCAUCCAUCUUCCCAGACGAGGAGGAAAGCAUUAUGAAGCCUUUGUAUUUGUCUUACAGGGAUCUGCCCGCAAGCAUCAAGCAGUGUUUUCUGUACCUCUCGCUGUUCCCCGAGGACUUCGUGUUCGUGCGUCCCAGAGUUGUCUCAUACUGGGUUGCGGAGGGUUUCCUGAAACCAGAGGGCACUUUGACCAUGGAAGACGUAGGAACGAGGUAUUUCGAUGAGCUGACCAGUAGAGGUCUUCUGCAACCACAGCUCUCAGCGAUAGAGGGGGCUCUGUGCAAGAUGCACGACAUUGUGCGUUCUCUCUGUCAGUAUCUAGCGGAAGGCGAAUGCCUCUUCGGCGAGAUGCCGAGACCGCAAGGCAGGUCCGGAAAGCUCCGCCGGCUGUCAAUGGUGGACUGUGAUUUUGCCAUAGACAUCCAUCUUUUGAAAAGAGAACAACGCCUGAGGACACUCCUUAUUCGUAGCAACCCAUGCGGAGGGGUAGUUCUGAAACAGGAUGUUGUUGAAGCUCUUACCUAUCUGAGAGUUUUAGAUGUCAGUGAUACGCCCAUUGAGGAACUGCCGCACUUCAUCACGAGGCUUCGACACCUGAGGUACCUCAACGUCUCUGGGACUCCCAUUGGGGCGUUGCCAGAGUCGAUAGGCGACAUGAAAAGCCUUCAAUUCCUAUUCUUGAAGAACUGCCGAAACAUCUCGUCUCUUCCAGAUGGCAUAACGAAGUUGAGAAAUCUGAGAUCCCUUCAGGUGAAUGAAGGAACUGACAUCGACCAGUUGCCAAGGGGAAUCGGCAGACUGCAUCAGCUGCAAGGUCUGAAUGAGUUUGUUGUGGACAAGCAGGAGGGAAGUCUGCGAGAUUUGGGGCCUCUUUCAAACUUGAGACUGCUGGUGAUCACCAAAUUGGAGAGAGUCUCAGAAAGAACGCAAGCCAGAAGUGCUUUCCUCGAGAAUAAAACCUCAAUAAACUACAUAAGCUUCGAGUGGUCCUUCCCUCCUGUGGAAACUACGACUGCUGACCGGAUAAUGAACAUGCCUGAUAUAUUUGAUGAGCUAUGCCCCUCACCCUCCCUGCAGAUUCUCAACGUCGAGGGAUACCUUGGUCUCACCCUCCCUCGUUGGAUGUGGCCCUCGUCGUCGUCUGGCGUCUCUCCCAUCCAAAAUCUCACUCAUCUAACAAUGACCAGGUGCAUGAAUUUCUCUCAGAUUCCUCCGCUCGGACUUCUCCCUCAUCUGAAGGUUCUCGGGCUCGAUUAUUGUCCCCAGCUCGUAAGCAUCGGAACCGAGCUCGCAAGCCCAUCUGUUUCUCCACAUCAAUCUUCCUCAACCUCUUCUUCCACUGCAACUGGUGGCCCACCUGCUAUUCUGUUCCCCAAGCUGGAAUCUUUCUCUCUCGUAGAGAUGUCAAACCUUGAAACAUGGUCCUGGAAAACAGACAACAGAACCAGCAUGCUGGCUUUUCCUUCACUCAAAGUUCUGUACCUAGACGGCUGCCCCAAAUUGAGAUGCGUCCCUGAUAUCUCUUGGAGACGGCUCGAGCACAUAUUCGUCUACAAUUGCCCUUCAAUUCUGGAGGUCGGUGGCGUUACUGCUCCGGAAUCAUUGUCUGUAAGAGAUGACAGCUCGGAGGACGUCCCGCCAUGGUUAGAUCAGGUCUGUGUCAAUCCCACGGAUGAGGUGUCAAUCCUUUUCCUCCAUGUCAGGUUGAACCUGCUCAAGAAAAUUUUACAACAGAGAGAGGCGGAUGUCAACAACCCAGAUGCCGGCUGGAAUGUCGUCAAACGAUUCCCUCGCGCUUACGUUGUCGCAAGGGAUGAUGAAACUAUGUUCUUCUCCUACACCAAACACAAAUCACUAUUCCACACCAGCGUGCGGCUCGCCUAAGGUGAGGGCAUCUAUUGGGGCAGCAGUAAAGCAGAAUGGAUAGGACACUGCGAAUGAGAAGCCGUUCCCAUUGAUGAGGCGUCGUUCCUUCUCAAUGCCAGGUUGAGUCUGCACAGGAAGGUGGCUACAUCGGUGUUUGCUACGCUGGUGGAAUAAUGGGGAUCAAAGAAGUGGGCAAGCACCUCCACAUCACCAGCACAUCGGCCCAAGUCCAUUACGCCAUAACUUUCUUCUUUAGCUAUUUCCUUUUCUAAUCAUCCAAGUGGUUAUCAAUAACUUUGUGUUGCCCUAAGGACGAUUAGACAGAGGUGAACGAAGUUUUGAGGUUUACCUCGUAUUGCUCCGCAAGGAGAGGCCGAGGGGGUCAGCUACCCAUCGCCACCGCCGCCACCCCCCGUCACACAGUCACCGCCAUUCGCCGGCUGCCCCUUAUCGCCCGUCGCCGUCACCGCCCGCUGCCACCGAUCCCCCGUCGCCACUGUCGCCGUCACCAUCUGCUGCCAUCCUCUGCCCCGUCACUGUCGCCGCCGUCCGCCAUCACCAUCCGCUGCCGCGGCCAGCAUCCCUACCUCCGCCUCCGGUUAUGCCCCCGGUUCGUAGCAUCAUGAACCGCUGCACUGACCCGGUUCCACCCGGCCAGACCGCCCACAUCUGUCCGGCCCAACCCAGCUCGAACCCCUCGGUCCGAGCAAACUUGCCGCCCGUCCGAGCCACUGUGGAGCAUUUGGUUCGAGUCGGUUCGCCUCGCCGGGUUCGAGCCAUUCGGAUAAUCUGGUCCACGCCAGCCGCCUCAUCUGGUUCAAACCAGUCUCCCUCCCCCCCCCCCUUCCACCCCAAAAGACCAGGUUAGCAGGGUCAACAGUCAACG